CCUUAUCAGGGGGCACCCUUUGAUCUCCACGUCGGAGCAGAGUA
Molecule: transfer RNA, 44 nt
Filed under: Durinskia baltica
Lineage: Eukaryota; Dinophyceae; Peridiniales; Kryptoperidiniaceae
Description: partial Selenocysteine transfer RNA
Source: RNAcentral